GUCAAGGCCGCUGAUUGGCCGCGCGGUACCUGCAAUGCGUCAAGUGAGGAUGCUGGGGUGCGCGUGCCAGCGCGCUGCCGGGGGGCGGCCGCGGCCCCGCCGGGAAUGGCCGCAGCCCCGGCAGCCCCGGCAGCCCCGGCGCCCUCGGCCCCUCUGGGCAGCAUCAGCAGUCCCAGCGGAAGAUUUGCAGUCUCUUCGUACCGCUGCAGCUUGCAGCAAUAGCAAGUUGCUUUGCUGAUGAGCCAGAAGUGGCAGGAAGAAGCUGUUCCUCAGUCAGUGACCUCUUCAGAGCAGGGUUUCUACGUGAAAAAGCGGCAGGAAGACAAAAAGCCGCUUUUCUCAGCCCUUUUCCACAGCACAGGUGCAAAGCGUGGCAGAGCAGACCCGCUCAGGCUGCCCUUGCCCUGCCCGUGCGAGAAGCGAGCGCUGCUGCGGCGGCAGCCGGGCCCGGUGUGCGCGGCCCAGCCGUGAGCGGGCGCUGCAGCAGCCGGCCGAAACCCUGCAGAGUCUUUCAACACAAAAGAGGCGCUUCUGCACAACCAGCCCUGAGCUGGGAAGCCGUGCCGAGGCACGCCAGGUCGGUCUGAUCCAUGUGGGGAUGGUUGCCCCCUUGGGCCUGGCCAGAACCCAGUACAGCCCUGUUGCGUAAGGAGCUGCAGAGAUGCCUUAGCCACUUGUGUGGGGUUUUUUUGUAUGUUUCUAAUUGGAAAAGGAGCUGCAGAGAUGUCAUAAGCGCUUGUGUGGGGUUUUUUGUAUGUCCCUAAUUGAAAUAAGCACAGAUAAACCAGAAGCAAUGAAAGUCGUCUCUGCACCAGUAAGAAGCUUACAGGACCGCUUUAAAAACGACGGGGGUUUCAAAACAGCAAGAACUUCCUGGCAGAUCUGUGAAGCUUGAUACAAUAAGUGUCUAAAGGUGAAAAUGAUUCUUCAGGAAGACCUUAUUACUUUGCUUUUGAAAAGUUUGAGCUAAAGGUUUUACAGUUUCAGACAGAUAUUAGCUCCAAAACAGCAGGGAGAUCAUAGGAAGCUCAGACGUUGCUAUGUAGAAAAUACUGUUCUGCAUCAGACUGAAGACCAGACUGGGUCAGUAUCUUUCUACAUCUGUGGCAAGAUGAGGUCCUUGAAUGAAUUACUUGCUGCUGGUAAGAGGAAUCAGUCCAUCCCCAUGAAGGAUUGUACUCUAGCAGUAAAAUAUUUUCUUAACUUUGAAGCAUGACUUGUUAAAAGGCUUCCAGAAUUACUGUGAACAACCACAGCUCCAAGUACUUUGGUAUUCAUGUACAUUUUAGAACUAACUCAGUUCUUGACCUUGGUGGAUUUCUGUAGCAAUAUGUUUCACCAUGCAAUUACUUAUUGAUUUGGCAAACAGUAAUCAAGCACAUUCUUUCUUCUACAAAAAUGAUGCAAGAUUUUAUUACCAUUACAAAAGAGGAAACAUUUCAGCUCUCUUGUUUUGUCUGAGAAACUGGCAUACAGCAAACUGCCUUCAGCUGGCUGUAUCUUUUAGAUCAGAUUAUCUUUAAAUGUCAUAUUGGGAUUCUGGUGUAAAUUUGCAAUAUCAACAUGUCUUAGGGUGGGUUCUACCUUAGUGUUUUACUGAAACAUAAUGUUUUCUGGGUUUUUUAAUAAUUCAAACCAUUUUCAUCUAGUUAUUUUCAGCUUUCAUAAUUGUGUGUAUUUUUUUACCUUCAUGCAUAAAUCAAUGAGUAUCAUUUAAUCUAACAUUUGGUUUACUUCUGUUUAACAAUAAAAGCCUGUACAGAUGGCUGCAAAACAGAACCCUCAGACACAGUUGGAUUUGUACAUUUGUGCUGAUUUAUUGCUUGAGGGAACUCACUUCAGCAUGCUGUACUGCCAGAUCCAUCCCUGCAGUAAUUCUGUUGGCUUCAGUGGAUGGCCCCAUGGGAUCACCUGUGCUAGCUGGCUAAGCUGAGAGAUUCUGUACAAUUCCAAAGAGAUCUGCUUGACAAUAUGAAAAAAUGAAGUCUGAAGAGCGUGCUAACUGUGUUGGGCUUUGGAUAGUUCAACUGUUUUGUUCAAAGUAGGGGCCAUGAGAGCCUCUUUCCAUUCAGAGACCACAAUAAAUAAUUACAGUUUUGAUUUACAUAAUUGGCAGCAGAAAAUAUUGUGCUCACCCUGGGUACUGUGUAGGUGCAGACAAUAGGAGGGUCAAAGAUUCAGCUGAUUUUCUGAGGAUUUAGAAAUAAUUUCGGAACUGAGGAAGUAAUUUGGAACUUGCUCUAAUUGUGUCUGUGUGACAUCAGAAAUGCUGGAAGGAAGAUCUUUUAGAAUGCAGCUGCCUACAAAAAGUCUGGGAACCACAGGCAAAUAAAUUGUUCCUAUUCAUGUGAAUUUCUUUGUGCUCCAUAAAUCAAGUUGUAAUGUCCAUUAUUCCUAAAAUUAAGGAUCAUAUCACUUUUCAUCAAUUUCUUUUCCUAAUGCAAAAACCCUUAAAGAUGUAGAAUUCUGAGCAACUCUGGGGGCUAAAAGGAAUUGACACUCUGACAGAAUAUAAUAUUCCACAAGAUUGCAACAUAAGAACAGGCCAACAGCUUGUUUGGCUUUGUUUGGUAUUGCUUAUGCAGGACAGGCAAAACACACAGAACUGCAAGUCCUAAAGCUAGCUUGUUUUUAUGGAGUUGUGCACCUUAUCUGAAUAUAUGCAAAGUAUGAAAAUAAUUAGUUGUGAAUUUUUGAUCAUCCAUUAAACUGGAAUAGUGAUUACAUUAAAGUAAAAUUACUUGUGCUCACUUGUAAAUUGGCUUGCUUUUCUAUGGGAAACAAUGUUCUUUCAAAAUAAUCCAAAAUGGUAAGCACUUCUAUGGUGCAAUGCAAAUAAAACAGAAUAAUCAGCUACAAAAAAAUGCUAUGCAGAACUAAAAUGUACUUCCACACUGAGAGGUGAUCAUAGUUUGUAGGAAACAACUGUGCUUGUAAACAGUGUUAGCACUGUAACAAACAACCAAGAAAGAAUCACCUUAUGACUUCAGCUGAAUCCUCAGGGUCAUGCAGCUCAGUUGGGCUGGAGCUGACCCAAACAUGGAACACUUCUCAACACCCUACUCCUCCUAAUUGUAAUGUUCCCCAUUUUCUUUUGCAAGUAAUACUUUAUAGUGUAAAUACCUCACUGCUGGUGUCACCUAUGACAUUUUGGCCUUUUCAUUCUUCCCAUACUUUCCUCCAGAAACUGGCCAGGACUCUUGCUGUUGAUGUUUCAAUGCUCUCUCCCCAGUUGCCUGUGGGAGUUUGUCGGGUCAGAUAUCCAAAGCGGAUCCGUGUGUGUGUAUCGUAUUCACCUGACCUGAAAGGCCUCCCACAAUCCUGCCUGCUGGGGAUCAUUUCCACAUGAAGGCGCCUGCGGCUGGCCUGGAGCCCAGCGAGGUUUGAGCUGCUCCUGAGGGGAAGCAAUGUGGUGUGACUGCAGCACGCUGUCUGUCACUCCUGGUUCUGGGAACACGGUGAGGAAGAACUUCAGCUGUUUUUUCACAGAGGCCACUUUGGUUUGACAGAAUUUAUGAUCUCUGGCUCUGCAGGAAGGUGCAUGCAUUGUUCCCAAGCCAGACAUAGUCUUGCAAGAGAUGUUUGUACAGUCAUGGGCUUCAGCUAAUACCUAUGCUGGAGGCAGGGUGGUUGAUUUUACAUUUGUGGCACAGAAAAUCUGCAGUGAAGAUAAACUAAUCAUAGAUAAUUGAGAAUUGGCUCGAUGGGUGUUACAAUCCUGCUCUUAAUUUUGAUCUAGCACAGGCUGUUUUUUGCUGCUGUCCAGGCACCACUAUCAGCAUGAGAUAUUCCUGCUUCCCUGCUCCUGUUCCCUGUUCUGCCUGUGGCAUGCCAGCCAUGCAGUUGUGCUAGCAACUGAAUGUGCUAGUGAUUAUCACAAUCAAUAAUUCUUUUUUAACUCCAGUCAGUUCCUUGACUUAGACUGGCAACUUUUUAAUGAACCUUAGUUAAGAAGCCCUGCAAGCAAUUUUGUUGGUGCAGAUGAGGGGCACAGGGGUAUUAAGAAGGUUUUAAGCUACUACUGACAUUUUUUAUCAUGAAACAGUAGCCACAGUUCAGCUGUAUUUCUGUAAUUUCAUUAAUUUUAUUAACUAUACCAUUGUAAAUUAGGAGUAAUCUCAAAUAAAACAAUGCUUUCGCAAUCACCAAACAUGUUUUGAGAAGGUGAAAUAAUUUUUAAAAAAAGAAAAAUUAUGGUAGUUAGUUGGAGAUUUGAGAGAAGAUUUUUCUCCCUUGCAAAUAAAAUAAUUUAGGAAUGCCAUCAAUAAAUAAAAUUAUUUGAUUUCAGCACAUGACAACAGGAUUAUCUUCCAUUUAGUACUGAACCACAACGUAGAAAACUGCAGGGUUACAGAAUUAAAAAUCACACACAGCACUCUCUGAAAACUCGAUUGCUUCACUGAGCCAUGUACCACUGGGCACUUCAUGGCUUGCUGGGAAUGAGAAGCAACAGAGCCUUGGAUUUGCCAGCCAUCCUGACAUUUGCCAGUCAUCGACUUCACCAAAGGAAAGGCUACAAAUAAAGUUGCUGCAGGGGCCCUCUGUCCCAGAGCUGGGUGUGUGGGGCCAGACAGUGCAGAGGAAUAAAUGACUUGUCCUUGGAGCUGCCUCUGUCACGCCACCCUGCUUGGCAGGGGGGAAAUGGACAGGGUGAAGGGAGGCUGAUGACCAUCAGGCUUCAGAAAUCCCUUCUAGGAGUGCCAUCUGAUGGGUCUAGCUGUGCUUUUUGUUGAGAGGGUGAGAAUCCUUGUGUGCAGAAAACAUCACUGCACAAAGGAAACAAAUCCAAACAAAGGUAAUAAAUGCAGAGCAGGCACUUUGACAAGGAGCAAACAGAUUCCCUUUUGACAAGCAAAGGAACUGAUGACUGUCAAGCUCUUUUCUUGACAGGAAAAAAAGAUGCCAGAAUCUGCUGCUGGAGAAAUCUCCCACCCCAUCUGACUAUCAAAACACAGCUGGCAACCCCAGGGAAGAAGAUCCCUGAACAACAGGGAAGAACAACACAUGAAAAUACUCUAUUUCUUUUGACUUGAGAAAAACAAAUUCUAUCACCAGAAAACUCUCUUUGGCUACAGCUAUUAAUUAACAUUUUCUAACUCUGGCCUUUCUUACUGCUCUCCUCCCUUUCCUCCUUAGUCUCUCCAAGAACCUCUCCCCACCUUAUCUAUGUUUCUGACAACUCACUAACUCACUGUGCUGAUUAUCUGAAUAAUUAUCUGAUUCUCUCUGGGUUUGUCUGUGACUGCUAGUCCUAGUAAUUUACCUUUUUGAAAUAGUUAUUUACUGAAUAGCAAUAGAAAGUAAUUGCUUGCAGCAGCCAAAGAAAAACCCUGAUCUUAGCAUUUUAAAAUAGGAUAUUUUACAGACAAAGUCUUAAAGUCUUCAGGGCUCAUAUUUCUGUAGUGGUACUCUAGUACAGGGCCUCCAUUAACGAUUAUGGCUGCUCAAGAAUUUCUAUAAUGUCAACACUGGAGUCCCUUUCCUUUCUAGUAUCGUGUUCCUGAUUUUUUGCUAACAAAUAAGGGAUACCAACCCACAAACUGAAGGUGCAGUGUCUAUAAAUGAACUUGGAUGAACCUAGCAGAGCCUGCUUUAUGUAGCUCUUCCUAAAUGAAGGCUGCUCUGACAGUGUUUAGAGAUUCCACAGUUCAUAUGAGGCUACUGUGUGCUUCUGCCAAGGGCUGUAACAUAGUUUGGGGUGGAGUGCAGCUUCCCCUUUCAGUGUGAAGGUGCCAGAAGUUUUUGAUUUAAGCAUAUGGUGUGCUUUCUUCAUUAAAACAGCAAUGUGCUUAGCUCAGAAGUACUUAAUUCUAAAACUCACUGAUACCCUUUUGAUAGCAGAGUUGGUAGAAUGCCAUUUAGGUGUUACUGGGAUUUUAGGACUCUGAGCAGCCCUAAAUAUGGGGAAUCAAUGGUUGUGAUUCCUAGGAAAUACAGCUACAGCAUUAUAUUGCUUUCAGCACAAGAUUCUCUACCAUGAUUAACUAUACUUUAAUGAAGUUGUUCUGCAUAUACUAAUGAACACUAACAAUAAUUUCUUAAUCAUUAAUUAAUUGUGCAAAUUGUUAUCUGCUUUCCUAUUUACUUAUAUAUGGAUUUUUUUGUUGUAUUGUUUUAAAAAUAUAUAUGUUUUCUAGUUCAUAAUGGUUACCUGAUUGCUAGGCUAAAAUAUAGAAAGAAGAGCUCAUAUCUAAUGUGGAUAAUAAUGAAAAUAGUAGACAAGAAUUGUUUAUCAAAGCAAAGUAUAUUAAAUAAAAAACUGCCAUUGAAGCAUCUUGGAAAUUGUCCAUAUUUACACGACACUUCAUAUAAAUAAAGUGAAGUCAUGAAAAUAAGUGAAAAGUCCUUUGUCCAAAAAAACUCAUAUAUUCAGAUGGGUAGAAAGUAUUUCAGAUAAUGGCUGCAGUUGAGAAAAUGAACUCAGGGUUCAUGAAAGCCCAACAGCUCUGAACAAAAUUUAUGAUCUGAAAGAAAGUAAUGAAGAAUCUGUGGGGAAUUAAAAAAGAAUGUAACAUUUAAUAAGGGAAAAAGGAGUAUUUGGGAUAGAUAAAUGAUUGGUGUGCAAUACUGAGUGUCUGGGAAAAGAAAAGGAACAAUAUAUGCCUGGCAAUUUGUGAGCAGAUGGUCAUGUGUGGUCAUGAUCAUCCUGAGUUUGGGUACCAAAAAGGCAAUAAAUAUGUAUGGGAGACAGAUCUGUGCUGCGAGCUCUUUGAAAGAGGGUUGUUGUCUGGUUUUGUGCAUGUCUGGGUGUGGAAUAGUGGUUGUGGACAGAGAAUUCUAGAGAGAGAAUUUAUACAGGAUCAUAGCAUGAGUCAGCUUGGAAGAGCCUUCAGAAUAUCUUCUAGUCCAACAUCCUGGUCACAUGGGAAUGAAGACGGUUGCAAACAUUAAAGUUGGGCAUAUUCAUGUUUGUGGUACAGACUAACAGAUUUUUGAAGUACUUAAUUUUCUUGGGAAUUUGUAAAUUUCAAACUGCUCUACUCCUGUAUGUGUGUAUAAAAAAACCCUACAGAAUAUAAAAUUGUAUCUAUAUUUUCACUCUUACCCUGAUGCAGGUGUAUGGGCAUUCAGAUUAUUUAGGCUACUCUUAUUCUUGCACUAAGAACCAGGUGUGAAUUUCCAUUAUCCUUACUUUUCCUUCUAAUACAUUUAAUGAAUGUACAACAAGGUUCCAGCCUUCUGAGCCAAAAGAACUGCUUUUAUGCAAUUUAAUGGGUGUAGCAAAACACUAAGGGACGGGUAAGGUGAAAAAGAAGUGCAUGAAAAAAGCACAGACAUACCUUUGCGGACAUACCUAUGGUUCUUUGAGGAACAACCAUAAAAAUAAAAUUAAUGUUCUUUCUUCUCUAUGUGAAAAUUAAAUUUCCAGUUGCUGUUACA
Molecule: long non-coding RNA, 7380 nt
Organism: Passer domesticus (house sparrow)
Lineage: Eukaryota; Metazoa; Chordata; Aves; Passeriformes; Passeridae
Exons: 4
Source: RefSeq, a predicted model, not a curated record